AGAGAUUGUAUUUAAUAUGGAUUCAUUAUAUAUCCUGAUCCUGAAUGAAAAGUUAUUAAUAAAAGCUUCCCAGCAGAAGGCAAGUUGUCUAAACAAGUGGCAAUAUAUAUAAUCAUUAAUGGCAUUUUAAGUACUGCAUAGUCUAUUUGGAAAAUGUUAUUCUUUGCUGGAGAGUAUGUUUAUGCAGGAUUAACAAACCUGACAAGGAAUGGAGUUGCUGACUUGUGGUAUGAAGCUUGUACUUUUAAAUUUUAACUAGUGGACUUGUAUGACAUGCUUGAUUGAGCAGUGACAACACUACAUGCAGUACAGGUAUAUUAUACUAACUUGUAAAUAUUCUACAUUGAAGAGAAUUAUGUUAACCUUUUAUGUGGCAAUGGGCUCUACCUUAUUAUUUUUUCUGUCUAAUGCCAGACAAUUUUACUCAUGAAGGAGAGAGUGUUGCCACUCAAUGGGUUAUAGCCAAAUUUCUGUAGAUGGAAAUUUUGAACAAUAACUAUGUAAUAAGUACUGUGCCGGGAAUGGAACCUGUUGCCCUGUGAUUCAGAACAGUUCCUUAACAGCCGAGAGUCCAUCAAGCCCUGAGAGUCCAAGCGCCAAGAAUCCAUCAAGCUAACCAAGAGUUCAUUUAUACAAUACUAGUGUCAUCCCAGUUUAUUUAAUAUACUACCAGUGACACCACCAUCAUGGUAUAAUUAUACAGAAAGUUACAUCUUGGCAAAAGGACUCUUUAGGUCAGAGGGCUGCAGUAGAAUUGCAGGGCUGCAGGUUCAAUUCAUGCUGGCAGGCUUGUAAUUGUAUUAAAACUGUAUGUGUACCAGCGUGGGUAGUACCAAUGUGAAAUUGCUGUGCUGAGUGGUUAUAUUACUACCUGAAAAAAAAAGCAAACAGAAACUGAAUGUUUUGAGCAAAGACCAUUCGCUCGAAAUGUUGAGUUUCUGCUUGUUUUUUUUUUUGAGGUAGUAAUAUAACCACUCAACACAGCAAUUGUAAUUGUAUUCCUUUGCAAUUGCUCUCACAUAGUUCUAAGGUACCUGUAGCUC
Molecule: long non-coding RNA, 1043 nt
Filed under: Paramuricea clavata
Lineage: Eukaryota; Metazoa; Cnidaria; Anthozoa; Malacalcyonacea; Plexauridae
Source: RNAcentral